Molecule: ribosomal RNA, 377 nt
Filed under: uncultured Flectobacillus sp.
Lineage: Bacteria; Pseudomonadati; Bacteroidota; Cytophagia; Cytophagales; Flectobacillaceae
Description: bacterial SSU rRNA
Rfam family: Bacterial small subunit ribosomal RNA
Source: RNAcentral
CGGUAAUACGGAGGGUGCGAGCGUUGUCCGGAUUUAUUGGGUUUAAAGGGUGCGUAGGCGGUUUAUUAAGUCAGUGGUGAAAGACGGUCGCUCAACGAUUGCAGUGCCAUUGAUACUGGUAGACUUGAGUUSGUAUGAGGUAGCUGGAAUGGAUAGUGUAGCGGUGAAAUGCAUAGAUAUUAUCCAGAACUCCAAUUGMGUAGGCAGGUUASUAAUACGAUACUGACGMUGAUGCAMGAAAGUGUGGGGAUCAAACAGGAUUAGAUACCCUGGUAGUCCACACUGUAAACGAUGAUGACUAACUGUUUGCCCUUUGGGGUGAGUGGUACAGAGAAAUCGUUAAGUCAUCCACCUGGGGAGUACGCCGGCCACGGUGA